GACGAACGCUGGCGGCGUGCUUAACACAUGCAAGUCGAACGGAAAGGCCCUGCUUUUGUGGGGUGCUCGAGUGGCGAACGGGUGAGUAACACGUGAGUAACCUGCCCUUGACUUUGGGAUAACUUCAGGAAACUGGGGCUAAUACCGGAUAGGAGCUCCUGCUGCAUGGUGGGGGUUGGAAAGUUUCGGCGGUUGGGGAUGGACUCGCGGCUUAUCAGCUUGUUGGUGGGGUAGUGGCUUACCAAGGCUUUGACGGGUAGCCGGCCUGAGAGGGUGACCGGCCACAUUGGGACUGCGAUACGGCCCAGACUCCUACGGGAGGCAGCAGUGGAGAAUAUUGCACAAUGGGCGGAAGCCUGAUGCAGCAACGCCGCGUGCGGGAUGACGGCCUUCGGGUUGUAAACCGCUUUCGCCUGUGACGAAGCGUGAGUGACGGUAAUGGGUAAAGAAGCACCGGCUAACUACGUG
This 468-nucleotide ribosomal RNA is filed under the name uncultured bacterium. RNAcentral's name for it is "partial 16S ribosomal RNA". It matches the Rfam family "Bacterial small subunit ribosomal RNA", at positions 28 to 507 of the family's 1533-position model. The record is from RNAcentral.